This 301-nucleotide ribosomal RNA is filed under the name uncultured bacterium. Its description in RNAcentral is "partial 16S ribosomal RNA". It matches the Rfam family "Bacterial small subunit ribosomal RNA", at positions 509 to 808 of the family's 1533-position model. The record is from RNAcentral.
CAGUAGCCACGGUAAUACGAAGGGGGCUAGCGUUAUUCGGAAUCAUUGGGCUUAAAGCGCGUGUAGGCGGAUGGGAACGUCGGUCGCUGAAAUACCCCGGCUCAACCGGGGAACUGGCAUCGAAACGACCCGUCUCGAGGGGCAUAGGGGGAGCUGGAACUUCCGGUGGAGCGGUGAAAUGCGUUGAGAUCGGAAGGAACGCCCGUGGCGAAAGCGAGCUCCUGGAUGUCUUCUGACGCUGAGACGCGAAAGCUAGGGUAGCGAACGGGAUUAGAUACCCCAGUAGUCCCUGUCUCUUAUA